AAUUCCGGCUAGGGAUUCAUCCAGCCCAGCCUUUCGCAUGAUGAAUUCUGCAUAUAAGUUAACAGCUCUCAGCCAGCUGCUGACCUCCCCGUCCCUAACGGAGAAGAAACUCGCCCACCUACUUUUCCGACGGCAUCUUUCACCCCUCAGGGUGCAUCUAUAUAGACACCGCACUUUCCUUUUCAAGAAAGCAUGCUGAUUUACUAGGACAACACCGCCCCCCUCCCCAUCUCUUAACCAUAGAGCUAGCAAUACCUCCCUCUUCCUAGCGAUCACCAGGAAAUACAGCAGCGGAGAGGAGGUGGAAUAGGGGAUUAAAUCUAUCUGGGACCUUCCUGUUCCCAGCAGCCCCCUGAGCUGAGCUGAGAGUUGAGCUGGAGUGCAAUCGCUGCCGUGGCUCAGCCUCCUUUCUCUUGCCUAAGGUGGGGGUGGUGUCUGGAAAAAUAAAUCAGAACGGGUUACCUUGCUUCCUUCAUCUUCCCAGGGCAACAGUAACAUUCUGGCUUGGAGGGGGAAAAGCUCUUUGAGAUGGACUGUGAAGACCCAGGUCAUCUGGAGAUCCACAGCUCAGAUGAUGGCGGGAUUGUACGGAGAGUCUACGUAGCUGACAAAGGUGAAGAUGAUCUGGAGCACGAGACCAUCCAAUCCAGCAUUCAGCAUGGACAGUCCAACUGGAAGGCAAAUUCCCAGCAGGAAGGACCAGCAGUGGACCGGCAGGGGAGCCCGCUAGCCCCUGACAGCUAUGGCGAGGGCGAGGGGGCGGUUGCCGCUGCAGUGGUCUCGCGCUCCACCAAGCAGCGGCCCUUCAUCUGCAACGAGUGCGGCAAGAGCUUCAGCCACUGGUCGAAGCUGCUGCGGCACCAGCGCACGCACACUGGCGAGCGGCCCAGCACCUGCACCGACUGCGGCAAGAGCUUCUCGCAGAACUCGCACCUGGUGCAGCACCGGCGCACGCACACCGGCGAAAAGCCCUACGUCUGCCGGGACUGCGGCAAGAGCUUCAGCUGGAGCUCCAACCUCAUCCAGCACCAGCGCAUACACACGGGAGAGCGCCCUUACACAUGCGGGGACUGCGGGCGGAGCUUCACCCAAAGCAAGAACCUGGCCAAGCACCGGAGGACGCACACGGGUGCCCGGCCCUUCCGCUGCCCCGAGUGCGGGCGGGGCUUUGCGCACACGGCCGGCUUGGUCAAACACCAGCGCCUGCGCCACGACACGGACUCCCCCAUCGGACACCCUUGCCCGGAAUGCGGGCAGCGCUUCCGGGCACCUUCCGAGGUGGAGCGCCACCGCGUGGCUCACCAUGGCGUCGCCCCCUCGGAGCCCUUCAUUUGCGUGGAGUGCGGAGAGUGUUUCACCAAGAGAACCACGCUCAUCCGCCACAAGAGAGUGCACAAGCCCAUCUUUGUGCGUUGAGGUUUUUCGUUCCCCCCGGCGGGAGAGGAAUUCCAAACGUCGACGCCCAGGCUUGCGGCCUGAAGACUACAGGUUGGGGUCCGAGGUGACUCUGGACUGCAACCUGGGUGUCGCUUGACCAGGUCAAAGGCCCUGAUGGGGCCAACGUGCAAAAUCCACUGGGUGGUGACGAGGAGGAGGAGGGAAGAAGAGAAGACAGGGCUCAGAGUUUGGACUUCAGGCCCGUGUCGGGAGAGAGACUGGUUGCAGCCCAGAUCUCGAACUGCCUGUGGGGCAGAAUGAAAGCGGAGCACAAACUCACCUGCUGAGAAUCUACAGGCCCUGGACCCUCCUCCUGUACAUACAAUAAGUUUGCGAUCGAACAAGGGCAGUUCGAGAGACAAAGGUAGGCAAUGUGGCGGAAUGGGAAGAUGGACCAAAUUCUGAACAGGAGAUGAACGGCACUGAUAAAAAGGCCACUCACUGGGAGAUUGUGGUGGCUGAUGGGCUGUACAGAAGAAGAAGAAGAAGAAGAAAAGGAGACACUAUGGACUAGAAGACGUUUAAGCCCAACAAGAGAACAUAGCAAGUCUUUUUUGCAGUGCAGGGUACAAACUGGGCAUCUGGGGCAGAACAUAAAAAGGUAAAGGUACCCCUGCCCGUACGGGCCAGUCUUGACAGACUCUAGGGUUGUGCGCCCAUCUCAC
Molecule: non-coding RNA, 2102 nt
Organism: Podarcis muralis (Common wall lizard)
Lineage: Eukaryota; Metazoa; Chordata; Lepidosauria; Squamata; Lacertidae
Source: RefSeq, a predicted model, not a curated record